AUAGCCGGCGCGCGUGAAAGUGUAGUAUCUGUUCCUAUCAACUUAAUAUCUAAUACAGGUUGUAUUGUUGUAUUGGGGCCUAAGAUAUUAUAGUUAUGUUUGCAAUUUGGCGGAGUGCUUAACGCCUGCUUCACCUCCGCCGCGGUUCGGCCUAGUAUUGCACUAUCUUCGUGAUCGGUCAAGGUAUG
Dermacentor albipictus is the source of this 188-nucleotide small nuclear RNA. RefSeq annotates it as U2 spliceosomal RNA. The record is from RefSeq and is a predicted model, not a curated record. Lineage: Eukaryota; Metazoa; Arthropoda; Arachnida; Ixodida; Ixodidae.